Molecule: ribosomal RNA, 449 nt
Filed under: uncultured bacterium
Lineage: Bacteria
Description: bacterial SSU rRNA
Rfam family: Bacterial small subunit ribosomal RNA
Source: RNAcentral
UCCCAGACUCCUACGGGAGGCAGCAGUAGGGAAUCUUUCACAAUGGGCGAAAGCCUGAUGGAGCAACGCCGCGUGCAGGAUGAAGGCCUUCGGGUUGUAAACUGCUUUUAUAAGCGAGAAAUAUGAUGGUAACUUAUGAAUAAGGAUCGGCUAACUCCGUGCCAGCAGCCGCGGUAAUACGGAGGAUCCGAGCGUUAUCCGGAUUCAUUGGGUUUAAAGGGUGCGUAGGUUGUUUUAUAAGUUAGCGGUGAAAUACCGAUGCUCAACAUCGGGGCUGCCGCUAAUACUGUAGGACUAGAGAUCGGAUGCAGCAGGCGGAAUGUGUAGUGUAGCGGUGAAAUGCAUAGAUAUUACACAGAACACCGAUUGCGAAGGCAGCUUGCUAGGCCGGAUCUGACACUGAUGCACGAAAGCGUGGGGAUCGAACAGGAUUAGAUACCCGUGUAACG